UCUGUUGGGGUUUGUGUUUUGCGUCUGGAAAAAAACAUUCACUUUCAAUCACGAAAAAAAAAAAUCUCGAAGGCGAAAGGCGAUUUGGCUCUGAGAAAAGAGACCGAAACCCUAAUCUAUGCAGGAGGAUGAUGAAUUUGGGGAGGAAGAAUCGAAUAUAUGUUUCAAGAACCAAGAGAUUCUGGUGGCCACGAUCUGGAUUCAAGCUUUCAUUGGUACCAAUUUCGAUUUCUCGACGUACUCCUCGGAUUUGAAAUCGGUUCUAGGGAUUCAUUGGUUAUGGUGUCCAGUAGACAAGUUACUUUCUGUAAACGACGUAAUGGUCUCAUGGAGAAAGCUCGUCAGCUCUCGAUUCUCUGUGGAUCCUCCGUAGCUGUCCUCAUUGUUUCCUCUACUUGACUCUGUUCUGACUUGUAAAACAGAGGAAAGAGCAGUUACAAGAUUCUCUCGCCUGACAUCAUGGUGUGGACAAUGAUUCUGUUAAGCCAUCACCAAGACUGGCAAGAAAGGGCGAGAGAGGAAGUGAGGCAGUGAACAAGACUGAAGAACAGAUUUGGAAGCAUAUCAAUGGACGACGCUUCCUCAACAAGCUAGAGGAGAAGGAAAGAGAGAAAGAGUAACUGACUUUUUAGCAGGCAACAGACUUUUGUACACUCUUUGCAGGCUACGGACUUUUUAGCUCGUGCCCUUUUUAGGCAACAAGAUAAUUUCUUUGUUUACUACAGUUAAGUUCCCCGGAUUAUUUCUCCAUUUUACAUUUGUGUUAGUCCCCAGUUUGAUUGUUUGGUAUGUGCCUUUGCUUCCAGAACUGUACCACUUGCUGCCUAGACGCUUUGAUGGGAGACGCAGUCAGAAGCUAGAAACAGUGAAGGAACUGAAUAAAGAAAAAGCUAGGUACCCUAGAUUGGCAAAUCUCCACCUCUUUCUGAGGAUGAUUUAUGGUGGGAGGUUGCAGGCUUGGAGCUGAGAGAGGAGUGGAGAUUAGAGAACCGGAAAGCAUUUGCCAACAUAUAGUCUGAUCUGGUGUUUGGGAUUUCGCUGUUCGUUGCCAAUUAUUUGGUAGAUUUAUGACAUUCUGUUUCCAAUCUAUAAUGACAUUCUACACUCGGUUGUGUAAUAGGAAAAUUAUGCAUGGAUUUAUACAUAUAUACACAAAUAAAAUUUUCAAA
Long non-coding RNA from Raphanus sativus (radish), 1169 nucleotides. RefSeq lists it as uncharacterized. The record is from RefSeq and is a predicted model, not a curated record. NCBI's taxonomy places the organism in Eukaryota, Viridiplantae, Streptophyta, Magnoliopsida, Brassicales, Brassicaceae. The transcript is spliced from 4 exons.